UGGGGAAUUUUGGACAAUGGACGCAAGUCUGAUCCAGCCAUGCCGCGUGCGGGAAGAAGGCCUUCGGGUUGUAAACCGCUUUUGUACGGAACGAAAAGGCUCUGGUUAAUACCUGGGGCUCAUGACGGUACCGUAAGAAUAAGCACCGGCUAACUACGUGCCAGCAGCCGCGGUAAUACGUAGGGUGCAAGCGUUAAUCGGAAUUACUGGGCGUAAAGCGUGCGCAGGCGGUUAUGUAAGACAGAUGUUAAAUCCCCGGGCUCAACCUGGGACCUGCAUUUGUGACUGUAUAGCUAGAGUACGGCAGAGGGAGGUGAAAUUCCGCGUGUAGCAGUGAAAUGCGUAGAUAUGCGGAGGAACACCGAUAGAGAAGGCAGCCUCCUGGGCCAGUACUGACGCUCAUGCACGAAAGCGUGGGGAGCAAACA
Molecule: ribosomal RNA, 427 nt
Filed under: uncultured bacterium
Lineage: Bacteria
Description: bacterial SSU rRNA
Rfam family: Bacterial small subunit ribosomal RNA
Source: RNAcentral